GUCAUAGGAGAGUGCAGAUCGUUGGACUUUGAUGAACAGUUAGAUCCAGCAUCAACCGUCUGAGUGCCAUUUUCAUGAUUUUCAGGUUCAUUCCCUGAUGAAUUCAUGACCGGGGGUGCUAGACUUUCAGUUGCUGCAGAAGAAUCAGAGUAAGGCUUCAAUGGCGAGCCCAACUUCUUGUCACUGGACUUCACAGCCUCAGUCUUUGUAAUUUUUCCCUCAGUCGUAUCAGGUUCACAGUUGGUGCUUUUCACAGAUAGUACAUCCUGCUUCUCAU
This 277-nucleotide long non-coding RNA is filed under the name Nicotiana tabacum (common tobacco). RNAcentral's name for it is "long non-coding RNA (NTAB_LNC011692)". Lineage: Eukaryota; Viridiplantae; Streptophyta; Magnoliopsida; Solanales; Solanaceae. The record is from RNAcentral.